Molecule: ribosomal RNA, 519 nt
Filed under: uncultured eukaryote
Lineage: Eukaryota
Description: SSU rRNA
Rfam family: Eukaryotic small subunit ribosomal RNA
Source: RNAcentral
AGGGCACCACCAGGAGUGGAGCCUGCGGCUUAAUUUGACUCAACACGGGAAAACUCACCCGGCCCGGACACUGUAAGGAUUGACAGAUCGAGAGCUCUUUCCUGAUUCGGUGGUUGGUGGUGCAUGGCCGUUCUUAGUUGGUGGAGCGAUUUGUCUGGUUUAUUCCGAUAACGAACGAGACUCCGGCCUACUAAAUAGUGACUGGAUCCCUGGUCCAGUGCACUUCCUAGAGGGACAAGCGGCGUUCAGCCGCAUGAAAUGGAGCAAUAACAGGUCUGUGAUGCCCUUAGAUGUCCGGGGCUGCACGCGCGCUACACUGGAGGAGGCAGCGUGCCUUUACCAUUGCCGAAAGGUAUUGGUAAACCGAUGAAAAUCCUCCGUGAUCGGGAUCGGGAAUUGCAAUUAUUUCCCUCGAACGAGGAAUUCCCAGUAAGUGUGGGUCAUCAGCUCGCGCUGAUUACGUUCCUGCCCUUUGUACCCACCGCCCGUCGCUGCCCGGGACUGAGCCGUUUCGGGAAA